RNAcentral lists this long non-coding RNA (2472 nucleotides) under Mus musculus (house mouse). Its description in RNAcentral is "long non-coding RNA chr1:139070212-139072684". The record is from RNAcentral. Lineage: Eukaryota; Metazoa; Chordata; Mammalia; Rodentia; Muridae.
AGAGGCCAAUUUACAUGUAGACUUUGUGUUGUUGUUGUUGUUUUUAACAAUUUAUUUAUUUAUUUAUAUGUAUGUGAAUAUACUGCUGCUAUCUUAAGACACACCAGAAGAGGGCAUCGGAUCCUAUUACAGAUGGAAGAGCAGUCACUGCUCUUAACCCUUGAGCCUUCUCUCCAGACCCCUAGACUUUAUUUUUUUAAAUGAUGGGUUUUGUGUAUGUGUUUUCUGUUACAGGAUGUUAAUUUUUAAAGAAGCUGAUCUAAAUGUUAAUGACUCCAGGAAAAAGUGUCAAUCCAUCUUGAACUCUUUUUAGUUCUGCUUAUUUAUAGUGCAAUGUUGAUUCUUGUUCAGUGUGUGAGCUGACCUGGCUUAGGAUUCUUUUGGCCUUUGUAUAGUAUGAGGUAAAUGUAAGACUCUCUCUCAGUAAGACUAGUUUUGUAUUCACUGUUCAUUUUCAUGUGCUCCAUAAAUGAAAUUGCUGUGUUUGUUCCUGUAACUGGCCCUGAGACUGUGUUUGAUGCAUGUGGCAUCUUGUCCAUGCAUCUUCAUUUUCAUCCUGCUCCAGAACCUCAGAAGGCUGAGUUUUUCUUGGUAGAGUGACACCGUCUUUUGUUCCUUAAGCAUCUCCAAGUUAGUCAUGGGGGUUGUUGUUGUCUUGUUAUUAAAAUUAUUCAUUUAUUUGCAUUGAGAUAGUAUCAAGAAUUACUACAGAAACACCCUUGGCUCUACUUCUAGUCCUCUUUGCUCUUGUUUCCUUUUGUCUGUUGAAACCAGUCACUGCGGCCAGUGGCCAGUACUUCUUUAGCAAAUAGAUUUCAUGGCUGGGGGUAAUCUUAUCUGCCAAUUCAGAAACAGUUCCCUAGUCUACUAGUAAGCUUCAGCUGUCGAUUUUUUUUCCCUGAUGGAGUCUCAGUUGGAGAUUGCCUCUAUCAGACUGGUUUGUUGGCAUGUUAAUGUAGGAGUGCUCCGUCUCAUGAGGACAGUGCCAUCCCUAUGUAGGAGGUCCUGGGCUGUAAAGAAAGCUAGCUGAGCAAGCCAGUAAAUGGUGUUCUUCCAUGGGCUCUGAACCACUUUAUGACCUGACUUCUCUCAGUGAACUGUGACUUCCAAGUAUAAGCUCAAAUAAAUCUUUUACUCUGGGAGUUAAUUUGAAAUAGUUAACACCCCAAAACAAAGGAAGAGCUUUAUGUUAAAAGAAAUACUUGGCAUUUGGCAAAUUUUUCUAGAAAUAGGUUAUUAAUUAGAGUAUUGAUUUCUUUGUAAAUUGAUCAAAACAUUUUAAAUUAAUCUAUUUACAUUUUGUGUGCCUGUAUGUGCAUGUCUGUGUGCCACAGUGUGUGUGUGUGUGUGUGUGUGUGUGUGUGUGUGUGUGUGUGUGUGUGUAAGUUAGAGGGAACGUGGGGGAAUCAGUUCAUGCCUUCUUUGAUGUGGAUUCUGAGGAUCAACUCAGGUUUUCAGUCUUGGAGGCUAGCCUCUACUGAUUCAUCUUGAUGACUUUGUUAAAAUUCUUAUGUCAGUUACUAUGUAUGAAGAUGUUAAAAGUUACAAAUUGUGAUUCUGUAGUGGUAUCAAUGAAACAAAGCCUAUCAUUUUAGUAGAAACUCUUAACAGAACUGGGGAGACGGCUCAGGAUCUAUGAGUUGCUUUUGCACAAGCAUGAGGAUCUGGUUUGAGAUUCCUAGUACCUAUAUAAAAGCUGGGCUGUGAUGGCCACACCUAUUACCCUACCAUAGAAGGGGAGGAGACAGGCUGAUCCAAGUGACUCACAAGCCUGCCAUUCUAACUUAAAUGGUGAGCUAAAAGUAGAAGGGGACCCCCCCCCACUUUUAAGGAUGGAGAACAAUAGAAAACUAUAUGUGAUGUUUGCUUUAGGCUGUACAAACUCAUGCACUGCACACACUUGUGCACACACAUACAUACCUCAUGCACACCCUCUCAUUAUGAGAAAUAGAGGAGGGGGCAUGGCACACUAAAUUCACUUCAGUGGCAGUCAGUUUUUCUUUUAAGCUAUACCUGAUAUAUAGAAAUAUAGUUUGCAUAUUAAUUAACAAUAUAAUGGGAUUAUUUGAUCUAUAUUUUAAAUAUAAAAAUAUGAGAUUAAAACAAAAACUAUGAUAUGAAUGUUGGAUAAGAUAGAAUGACAGAGGAAAAGAGUACAAGAGAGGGUACCAGAGUCAGAGACCUUCUUAUUCAUAUACUUAGGAGUUCAAAAACCCACUCAACUGGAAGAUAUAAAGUAGGCCCAGAGGACCUUUUGCCGACCCGUGCAGACCCUGGGCAUAUUUCUUCUGUCUUUGUAAGUUCAUUUGAGUUUCGCUCACGUUGAUUUAGAAGACCUUAUUUAUUUGGUCUCCUCCAUUUCCUCUGGCUCUUACAUUGUUUCUACACCCUCUUCUGCUAUGAUUUAGUACAUUUAUAAACAGAAAAAAUUUAGGGCACAUAACCCUUUUUCCCAGAAAAAAAAAUCCAAAC